UCCCACUGAAGUUGUGUAACACCCUCGAUGCGGCUAUAUCUCCCACGUGUCAAAGCACGACUUAGAGGCAUAACCGCAUUGAAAGCAAUGUCGCAAGUGAGGUAAUCUUCACACAACCCAUGUUAUACAUAAGGGAAAAAGAUACAUAGUUGGCUUACAAUCGCCACUUCACACAAUUACAUGAAUAUAACAUUACAUCAUCCAGAUACACUCAAGGUCCGACUACGGAACCAAAAUAAAAGAAGACUACCCCAAAAGCUACACAGAUCCCCGAUCGACCCCAACUGGGCUCCACUACUGAUCAACUAGAAUGAAACAACACAAAGGACAAGAUCUUCAUCGAGCUCCUCCUUGAGCUUGGUUGCGACACCUGCACGGUUCAAUGGCACCUACAAGCUGGUUUUGGAAGUAUCUGUGAGUCACGGGAACUCAGCAAUCUCACACCCUCGCGAUCAAGACUAUUCUAAGCAAGUUUCAUAUAUAAACUAUUUUAAUCCGAUGCACGGUUAAUAAGUUAUUAUAUGCAUGAAGCUUAGGGGUUAUUCUGUAAAACAGGCAAACACUGGAUAAAUAGUAAAUCGCAGAAUGGGAAAAAACAUGACAUGGGCCGAAUCUUGCUGGCCCGACAGUGCACAGGGGCUGGAGGGGUGCUUCUCACAUUGGGCUUGGCCUGGUUGGUGCUGGGCUGGACGAGGCAGACGGCUGGGCCUUGAGGGGCCUUGCUGGAGGUGAGUCUGGCAGAGGCGAAGCUGGGCCGGUGGGUGGAUCGAGGGAGGACAAGGCUGCGGCCGAUGGAUCUGGGCUUGCGCUGGCGCAGCCCACGCGUGUCGUCGUAGCCUUCCUGGAAGACAUGGACGACGCGCACGCGGUCGUGGUCAGCGGCUGGAGCAUUGACGAGCCACGUACUCGUAGUCUCCCUGACGAACGAGGCAAGGAGCGCCGGCGGAGGACUUGGCGUGGGACUCCGGGACGGCGCGGUGGCAGAUCUGGGCGGUGGAAGUGAAGGACGGCCCGUUCUGGCCGGAACCGAGGCGUGGAACGAGGCAGGAUGGAGCUUCAGGUUCGGGCGGCCAUAGCGUCGAGGCGAAGUAGGCCAUGGCGACGGCGGCAGUCGCUGCGUGGGGCGGCGCCGUUGCUAGAGUUCGAGAGGGGCUCAUCUCCCUGCGCCGAUGAGGAGAGUGGGGAGGCUAUGAGGACAAGGACGAUGGCACGAGGCUUGAUGCGGGACUGCUGCGGGAGGCGUCCGGUGAGGCGCUCGUGCUCAGGCACGAGCAGAGGCGUAUGGGAGGCGGCGAAGGGCAUGGGGCUCAGGCAGGGAUGGAUGGAUCCGCCUGUUUCCGGGCCGGAUCCGGCCAACAGGGCGUCGACGGAGCUCCUGCGAGGGUUGACCAAGGCGGAGGCGACCUGCAGCUCAUGAAAAAACAGAGAGAGAGAGGGAGAUCGUGAGAGAGGAAGAAAUCGGGAGAGGGGGAAGAAGAAAACAGAGGAGAAGCAGAGGACCUGGAGGCCGGCAAGGUUGGACGCUGCAAGGUGGCUGCAGCUCAGGAAUAGGAGCUCGGGCUCCAAGAGAAUGUCCUCUUCCCUGGGACGAUAGGAGGCAGAAGAAAGCGAAGGUUUGUUGGUAGCUGAAAUCGAGGAGGAGGGGAUCGGUGGCUAGUUCGAGUGGAUCGAGGGGAGGAUAUGGUUGGCCCUUUGCUGAAAACAAGGGAGAUGGUCGGCUCGGCUGGUUGGGUGGAGAGAUCGGGGGGGACCCCGAGGGGAACCAGAAGAGUGACGGCAGCGAUGGGACAAACCUCCU
RNAcentral lists this long non-coding RNA (1798 nucleotides) under Triticum aestivum (bread wheat). RNAcentral describes it as "long non-coding RNA (TAES_LNC025225)". The record is from RNAcentral. Lineage: Eukaryota; Viridiplantae; Streptophyta; Magnoliopsida; Poales; Poaceae.